CCUACGGGAGGCAGCAGUAGGGAAUCUUCCACAAUGGACGAAAGUCUGAUGGAGCAACGCCGCGUGAGUGAAGAAGGGUUUCGGCUCGUAAAGCUCUGUUGGUAGUGAAGAAAGAUAGAGGUAGUAACUGGCCUUUAUUUGACGGUAAUUACUUAGAAAGUCACGGCUAACUACGUGCCAGCAGCCGCGGUAAUACGUAGGUGGCAAGCGUUGUCCGGAUUUAUUGGGCGUAAAGCGAGUGCAGGCGGUUCAAUAAGUCUGAUGUGAAAGCCUUCGGCUCAACCGGAGAAUUGCAUCAGAAACUGUUAGACUGGAGUGCAGAAGAGGAGGGUGGAACUCCAUGUGUAGCGGUGGAAUGCGUAGAUAUAUGGAGGAACACCAGUGGCGAAGGCGGCUCUCUGGACUGCAACUGACGCUGAGGCUCGAAAGCAUGGGUAGCGAACAGGAUUAGAUACCCCAGUAGUC
Molecule: ribosomal RNA, 465 nt
Filed under: uncultured bacterium
Lineage: Bacteria
Description: partial 16S ribosomal RNA
Rfam family: Bacterial small subunit ribosomal RNA
Source: RNAcentral